This 253-nucleotide ribosomal RNA is filed under the name uncultured Eubacteriales bacterium. RNAcentral's name for it is "uncultured Clostridiales bacterium partial 16S ribosomal RNA". It matches the Rfam family "Bacterial small subunit ribosomal RNA", at positions 524 to 776 of the family's 1533-position model. The record is from RNAcentral. Lineage: Bacteria; Bacillati; Bacillota; Clostridia; Eubacteriales.
UACGUAGGGGGCAAGCGUUAUCCGGAUUUACUGGGUGUAAAGGGAGCGUAGGUGGCAGGGCAAGUCAGAUGUGAAAACCCGGGGCUCAACCCCGGGAGUGCAUUUGAAACUGUCCAGCUGGAGUGCAGGAGAGGUAAGCGGAAUUCCUAGUGUAGCGGUGAAAUGCAUAGAUAUCACGAAGAACUCCGAUUGCGAAGGCAGCUCACUGGACUGCAACUGACACUGAGGCUCGAAAGUGUGGGUAUCAAACAGG